Helianthus annuus (common sunflower) is the source of this 770-nucleotide long non-coding RNA. RefSeq lists it as uncharacterized. Lineage: Eukaryota; Viridiplantae; Streptophyta; Magnoliopsida; Asterales; Asteraceae. The transcript has 4 exons. The record is from RefSeq and is a predicted model, not a curated record.
AAACCCUAGCAGCCACAAACACAGAGACAGCGAUCUCUCUCUCUCCCGUUCAGGCCGGUGACCGGAUUCUUUUCCGGCGUCGACCUCCAGCCAGCUACACGCCACCACAACCUUCUCCUUUAUCAUAGCCGACACCCCACCCCCUUGUCUGUUUUGUCGCCGGUGAGACCACCAUCAGUGGCGGAGGUGGCGGAAUAGAUGGCGUCAGGUCGUGACUCGAGAUAGAGGGAGGCAGGAGAGGAAGAAAGAUGGUGAUGACUGUCACUUCCGGCGACAAACGCCGCUUACGGCGGCGACACACAACAGCGGGGAACGAAGAGUGAGAGAGAGACGUGGCGAAGUGAGAGAGAGAUAGAUGACGACAGUGGAGUCGACUGCGGCGACGGCGGAGCUGUUUUGGUUUGGGUCACGUUUUCCGGCGAGCUUCACCCUCCGAUUCAGAGCCGUCUCGAGCUUUGGUCGAUCUCAGGUCAAUCCGGUUCCAGUCGAGCCUUGGUUCAGUUAGCUCGGGUUCACGUCUAAACUCAUCAGAUUCGGAUAUGGUUCAGCUUCGGCUCGUGUUCAGUUGGGCCAGUUUCUGUUUCGGGUCAACUUGGCUAACCUUCGGUCAAGCAGGGUCAACUAGUCAAACACGAGGUUCGGUUGACCUCAUAGUUCUAACCUCCUAAUCCUUUACACUCGUCAACGCUUGGAUAAUCGGAAGACUUAGCAAUUAUGUUGAUGAGGAUGAUGCUAAGAAAAGAAGUAGCGUUGAUGCCUAGAUACACAUA